This 111-nucleotide ribosomal RNA is filed under the name Acanthosepion pharaonis. Lineage: Eukaryota; Metazoa; Mollusca; Cephalopoda; Sepiida; Sepiidae. The record is from RNAcentral.
CAGCCACAACAUGUUGGAACACUGGUUCCCAUAUGAUCACCAAAGUUAAGCAACAUCAAGCCUGGUCAGUACCAAGAUGUGUGACCAAUUGGGUAUACCACGUGCUGUAAG